AUUGAACGCUGGCGGCAGGCCUAACACAUGCAAGUCGAGCGGAAACGACUUAACUGAACCUUCGGGGAACGUUAAGGGCGUCGAGCGGCGGACGGGUGAGUAAUGCCUGGGAAUAUGCCUUGAUGUGGGGGAUAACCAUUGGAAACGAUGGCUAAUACCGCAUAAUCUCUUCGGAGCAAAGAGGGGGACCUUCGGGCCUCUCGCGUCAAGAUUAGCCCAGGUGGGAUUAGCUAGUUGGUGAGGUAAUGGCUCACCAAGGCGACGAUCCCUAGCUGGUCUGAGAGGAUGAUCAGCCACACUGGAACUGAGACACGGUCCAGACUCCUACGGGAGGCAGCAGUGGGGAAUAUUGCACAAUGGGCGCAAGCCUGAUGCAGCCAUGCCGCGUGUGUGAAGAAGGCCUCGGUUGUAAG
Molecule: ribosomal RNA, 413 nt
Filed under: uncultured bacterium
Lineage: Bacteria
Description: bacterial SSU rRNA
Rfam family: Bacterial small subunit ribosomal RNA
Source: RNAcentral